GCACUAGAAUGGGAACACAUGAAUAUUCAUUAAAAAAAUGAUGAUCUUGCAUGUGCGAUGAUUGGUAAAAAAGAUAUAUUUUGCACAUGGCAAAAGAUAUAUCGUUUGACAAAUGAUUGGAGAUAGUAAUUUCAUAUCAUUCUCUACAUCUAUGCAUUUACAUAUAUUUUUGGAAACACUAAAAAAUAAAAAAAAACUAUCAAACCCAAGCUGAAACGGUUCUUGAAAUUUUAGUGCUACAGUUUUGCAGUUUAAGGUUCACCAACAAUGCAUGCCUCAAGGUAUUCAGAAUUAGAUGCGCAUUGAUUUUUUUUUAAAAAUAGAUGCACGUUGAUUUUUCCUAUAAACAGGUGCACAAUUGCACUCUUUUUUAACAUGCAUUGCACUCAUUUUUGUUGUUGCAAAUACACCCUAAUUAAUGUGUUUAACAAAAUAAAAUUCCAUUGUAUAUUAACAGCGGUGAUAGAACAUUGAGGAUAGUAGCUAGUGAACGUUAAGAAUAAAAUUAAAACAUGAAUAUAACCCUUUGUUCCAUGUGCUCGUAAAUUUUAAUCUACCGCGGAGUGACUGG
Molecule: long non-coding RNA, 571 nt
Filed under: Brachypodium distachyon (stiff brome)
Lineage: Eukaryota; Viridiplantae; Streptophyta; Magnoliopsida; Poales; Poaceae
Description: long non-coding RNA (BDIS_LNC005286)
Source: RNAcentral